Molecule: ribosomal RNA, 305 nt
Filed under: uncultured bacterium
Lineage: Bacteria
Description: partial 16S ribosomal RNA
Rfam family: Bacterial small subunit ribosomal RNA
Source: RNAcentral
GCCUACGGGGGGCAGCAGUGGGGAAUAUUGCAUAAUGGGGGGAACCCUGAUGCAGCGACGCCGCGUGAGUGAAGAAGUAUUUCGGUAUGUAAAGCUCUAUCAGCAGGGAAGAAAAUGACGGUACCUGACUAAGAAGCCCCGGCUAACUACGUGCCAGCAGCCGCGGUAAUACGUAGGGGGCAAGCGUUAUCCGGAUUUACUGGGUGUAAAGGGAGCGCAGACGGCUGUGCAAGUCUGGAGUGAAAGGCGGGGGCCCAACCCCCGGACUGCUCUGGAAACUGGCGGGCUAGAGAGCAGGAGAGGGG